Molecule: ribosomal RNA, 431 nt
Filed under: uncultured bacterium
Lineage: Bacteria
Description: bacterial SSU rRNA
Rfam family: Bacterial small subunit ribosomal RNA
Source: RNAcentral
ACGAACGCUGGCGGCAUGCCUAACACAUGCAAGUCGAACGAGACCUUCGGGUCUAGUGGCGCACGGGUGCGUAACGCGUGGGAACCUGCCUUGAGGUUCGGAAUAACUCCCCGAAAGGGGUGCUAAUACCGGAUAAUGUCUUCGGACCAAAGAUUUAUCGCCUUUAGAUGGGCCCGCGUUGGAUUAGCUAGUUGGUGGGGUAAAGGCCUACCAAGGCGACGAUCCAUAGCUGGUCUGAGAGGAUGAUCAGCCACACUGGGACUGAGACACGGCCCAGACUCCUACGGGAGGCAGCAGUGGGGAAUAUUGGACAAUGGGCGAAAGCCUGAUCCAGCAAUGCCGCGUGAGUGAUGAAGGCCUUAGGGUUGUAAAGCUCUUUUACCAGGGAUGAUAAUGACAGUACCUGGAGAAUAAGCUCCGGCUAACUCCGU